GCGGAUAUGGCGGAACUGGCAGACGCAAUAGACUCAGAAUUUAUUGGAGGUUAUCCCCGUGCAGGUUCAACUCCUGUUAUCCGCACCA
Molecule: transfer RNA, 88 nt
Filed under: Caudoviricetes sp.
Lineage: Duplodnaviria; Heunggongvirae; Uroviricota; Caudoviricetes
Description: tRNA-Leu
Rfam family: tRNA
About the family: Transfer RNA (tRNA) molecules are approximately 80 nucleotides in length. Their secondary structure includes four short double-helical elements and three loops (D, anti-codon, and T loops).
Source: RNAcentral